Molecule: non-coding RNA, 363 nt
Organism: Mus musculus (house mouse)
Lineage: Eukaryota; Metazoa; Chordata; Mammalia; Rodentia; Muridae
Source: the annotation of a RefSeq genome assembly
AUGAUUUACUCUCUUCAGCUCCUGAGGAUGCUUGUGCUCUGGAUUCCUGGAAUCAGUAAAGUUAUUGUGAUGACUCAGGGUGCACUGUCCAAUCCUUUCACUUCUGUAGAGUCAGCUUCCAUCUCUUGCAGGUCUAGUUAAGAGUCUCCUACUUAAGGAUGGGAAGGCAUACUUGGAUUGGUUUCUUCAAAGGCCCGGACACCCUACUUGGCUCCUGAUCCAUUUGAUGCCAACCUGUGCGUCAGGAGUCUCAGACAAGUUUACUGACAGUGGGUCAGGAACAGAUUUCACACUGAAAAAUCAGUAAAGUGGAGGUUGAAGAUGUGGGUGUGCAUUACUGUUAGCAAGUUGUAGAGUAUAUUC